RNAcentral lists this long non-coding RNA (272 nucleotides) under Ananas comosus (pineapple). Its description in RNAcentral is "long non-coding RNA (ACOM_LNC033271)". Lineage: Eukaryota; Viridiplantae; Streptophyta; Magnoliopsida; Poales; Bromeliaceae. The record is from RNAcentral.
AGUAUUUCAAAACUUUUUCCGGGUAGGAAACGUUUCAAAUGAUAGAUCUGGAUUUAUGUUUAAAACUAUGAAUACCGUCGUGUUAUGAAUGGUGAAUGUAUGGACGUCUGUAUGUGCGGUUGAGGUUGUAUGUUCAUAUGGUUGUGGUUGUAUUCUGGUUGUACUCUGGUUGUAUAAUUGUACUUGUGCGACGCCGUGCAAAUACAGGGGAGACUCUGUCCGUGUGAACAGUGGAUUCCCUGUAUUUGUGGCGGAUCUGACAUACUCUGGGG